Molecule: transfer RNA, 71 nt
Filed under: Loxodonta africana (African savanna elephant)
Lineage: Eukaryota; Metazoa; Chordata; Mammalia; Proboscidea; Elephantidae
Rfam family: tRNA
About the family: Transfer RNA (tRNA) molecules are approximately 80 nucleotides in length.
Source: Rfam by way of RNAcentral
GCAGUGGGGGUUCAGAGGUAGAAUCCUCACCUUUCAUGUGAGAGACCCAGGUUUGAUUCCCACCCAGUGCA